CCUACGGGUGGCAGCAGUAGGGAAUAUUGCUCAAUGGGCGAAACCCUGAAGCAGCAACGCCGCGUGGAUGAUGAAGGUCUUCGGAUUGUAAACUCCUUUUGUUAGAGAGGAUAAUGUCGGUAUUUAACACAUAAGCACUGGAUAACACCGUGCCAGCAGCCGCGGUAAUACGGCGGGUGCAAGCGUUACUCGGAAUCACUGGGCGUAACGGGCGCGUAGGCGGGUUAGCAAGUCAGAUGUGAAAGCUUAGGGCUUAACCAGAGAACUGCAUUUGAUACUGUUAUUCUAGAGUAUGGUAGAGGUAGGUAGAAUUCUAGGUGUAGCGGUGAAAUGCGUAGAGAUGAAGAGGAAUACUCAUGGCGAAGGCGGCCUGCUAGACCAAGACUGACGCUGAUGCGCGAAAGCGUGGGGAGCAAACAGGAUUAGAUACCCGGGUAGUC
Molecule: ribosomal RNA, 440 nt
Filed under: uncultured bacterium
Lineage: Bacteria
Description: partial 16S ribosomal RNA
Rfam family: Bacterial small subunit ribosomal RNA
Source: RNAcentral